GUGAUUCUGCUGCCAUUUUGAGCCCUGAGGUGAUUUGGCCGCAUUUUCUGAGGUGAUUCUGGCGCCAUUUUGAGCCCUGAGGUGAUUUGGCCGCAUUUUCUGAGGUGAUUCAGGCGCCAUUUUGAGCCCUGAGGUGAUUCUGGCGCCAUUUUCUGAGGUGAUUCUGGUGCCAUUUUGAGCCCUGAGGUGAUUUGGCGCCAUUUUCUGAGGUGAUUCUGGCGCCAUUUUGAGCCCUGAGGUGAUUCUGGCGCCAUUUUGAGUCCUGAGGUGAUUUGGCGCCAUUUUCUGAGGUGAUUCUGGCGCCAUUUUGACCCUGAGGUGAUUCUGGCGCCAUUUUGAGUCCUGAGGUGAUUUGGCCGCAUUUUCUGGGGUGAUUCUGGCGCCAUUUUGAGCCCUGAGGUGAUUUGGCGCCAUUUUCUGAGGUGAUUCUGGCGCCAUUUUGAGCCCUGAGGUGAUUUAGCGCCAUUUUGACCCUGAGGUGAUUCUGGCGCCAUUUUGACCCUGAGGUGAUUCUGGCGCCAUUUUGUCCCUGAGGCGAUUCUGGCGCCAUUUUGACCCUGAGGUGAUUCUGGCGCCAUUUUGAGCCCUGAGGUGAUUCUGGCGCCAUUUUGACCCUGAGGUGAUUCUGGCGCAUUUUGAGCCCUGAGGUGAUUCUAGCGCCAUUUUGAGCCCUGAGGUGAUUCUGGCGCCAUUUUCUGAGGUGAUUCUGGCGCCAUUUUGAGCCCUGAGGUGAUUCUGGCGCCAUUUUGAGUCCUGGGUGAUUUGGCGCCAUUUUCUGAGGUGAUUCUGGCGCCAUUUUGAGCCCUGAGGUGAUUUGGCGCCAUUUUCUGAGGUGAUUCUGGCGCCAUUUUCUGAGGUGAUUCUGGCGCCAUUUUGAGUCCUGAGGUGAUUCUGGCGCCAUUUUCUGAGGUGAUUCUGCUGCCAUUUUGAGCCCUGAGGUGAUUUGGCCGCAUUUUCUGAGGUGAUUCUGGCGCCAUUUUGAGCCCUGAGGUGAUUUGGCCGCAUUUUCUGAGGUGAUUCAGGCGCCAUUUGAGCCCUGAGGUGAUUCUGGCGCCAUUUUCUGAGGUGAUUCUGGUGCCAUUUUGAGCCCUGAGGUGAUUUGGCGCCAUUUUCUGAGGUGAUUCUGGCGCCAUUUUGAGCCUGAGGUGAUUCUGGCGCCAUUUUGACCCUGAGGUGAUUCUGGCGCCAUUUUGAGCCCUGAGGUGAUUCUGGUGCCAUUUUGACCCUGAGGUGAUUCUGGCGCCAUUUUGAGCCCUGAGGUGAUUCUGGCGCCAUUUUGAGCCCUGAGGGGAUUUGGCACCAUUUUCUGAGGUGAUUCUGGCGCCAUUUUGAGCCCUGAGGUGAUUUGGCGCCAUUUUCUGAGGUGAUUCUGGUGCCAUUUUGAGCCCUGAGGUGAUUUGGCGCCAUUUUGAGCCCUGAGGUGAUUCUGGCGCCAUUUUGAGCCCUGAGGUGAUUUGGCGCCAUUUUCUGAGGUGAUUCUGGUGCCAUUUUGACCCUGAGGUGAUUCUGGCGCCAUUUUGAGCCCUGAGGUGAUUCUGGCGCCAUUUUGAGCCUGAGGCGAUUCUGGCGCCAUUUUGAGCCCUGAGGCGAUUCUGGCGCCAUUUUGAGCCCUGAGGUGAUUUGGCGCCAUUUUCUAAGGUGAUUCUGGCGCCAUUUUGUCCCUGAGGUGAUUCCGGCACAUUUUGAGUCCUGAGGUGAUUUGGCGCCAUUUUCUGAGGUGAUUCUGGUGCCAUUUUGAGUCCUGAGGUGAUUUGGCGCCAUUUUCUGAGGUGAUUCUGGUGCCAUUUUGAGCCUGAGGUGAUUUGGCGCCAUUUUCUGAGGUGAUUCUGGCGCCAUUUUGAGCCCUGAGGGGAUUUGGCGCCAUUUUCUGAGGUGAUUCUGGCGCCAUUUUGAGCCCUGAGGGGAUUUGGCGCCAUUUUCUGAGGUGAUUCUGGUGCCAUUUUGAGUCCUGAGGGGAUUUGGCGCCAUUUUCUGAGGUGAUUCUGGCGCCAUUUUGACCUUGAGGGGAUUCUGGCGCCAUUUUGACCCUGAGGUGAUUCUGGCGCCAUUUUGAUCCCUGAGGUGAUUCUGGCGCCAUUUUGAGUCCUGAGGGGAUUUGGCGCCAUUUUCUGAGGUGAUUCUGGCGCCAUUUUGAGCCCUGAGGGGAUUUGGCGCCAUUUUCUGAGGUGAUUCUGGCGCCAUUUUGAGCCCUGAGGUGAUUCAGGCGCCAUUUUGAGUCCUGAGGUGAUUUGGCGCCAUUUUCUGAGGUGAUUCUGGUGCCAUUUUGAGCCCUGAGGUGAUUUGGCGCCAUUUUCUGAGGUGAUUUUGGGGCCAUUUUGAGCCCUGAGGGGAUUUGGCGCCAUUUUCUGAGGUGAUUCUGGCGCCAUUUUGAGCCCUGAGGUGAUUCUGGUGCCAUUUUGAGCCCUGAGGUGAUUUGGCGCCAUUUUGACCCUGAGGUGAUUCUGGCGCCAUUUUGAGCCCUGAGGGGAUUUGGCGCCAUUUUCUGAGGUGAUUCUGGCGCCAUUUUGAGCCCUGAGGUGAUUUGGCGCCAUUUUCUGAGGUGAUUCUGGCGCCAUUUUGAGCCCUGAGGUGAUUUUGGCGCCAUUUUGACCCUGAGGUGAUUCUGGUGCCAUUUUGAGCCCUGAGGUGAUUCUGGCGCCAUUUUGACCCUGAAGUGAUUCUGGCGCCAUUUUGACCCUGAGGUGAUUUGGCGCCAUUUUGAGUCCUGAGGUGAUUUGGCGCCAUUUUGAGCCCUGAGGUGAUUCUGGCGCCAUUUUGAGCCCUGGGGUGAUUUGGCGCCAUUUUGAGUCCUGAGGUGAUUUGGCGCCAUUUUGAGCCCUGAGGUGAUUCUGGCGCCAUUUUGAGCCCUGAGGUGAUUUGGCGCCAUUUUCUGAGGGGAUUCUGGUGCCAUUUUGAGCCCUGAGGUGAUUUGGCGCCAUUUUCUGAGGUGAUUCUGGCGCCAUUUUGAGCCCUGAGGUGAUUUUGGCGCCAUUUUCUGAGGUGAUUCUGGUGCCAUUUUGAGCCCUGAGGUGAUUUGGCGCCAUUUUCUGAGGUGAUUCUGGCGCCAUUUUGAGCCCUGAGGUGAUUCUGGCGCCAUUUUGAGCCCUGAGGUGAUUCUGGCGCCAUUUUGAGCCCUGAGGUGAUUCUGGCGCCAUUUUGAGCCCUGAGGUGAUUCUGGCGCCAUUUUGAGCCCUGAGGUGAUUCUGGCGCCAUUUUGAGCCCUGAGGUGAUUCUGGCGCCAUUUUGAGCCCUGAGGUGAUUCUGGCGCCAUUUUGUCCCUGAGGUGAUUCUGGCGCCAUUUUGAGCCCUGAGGCGAUUCUGGCGCCAUUUUGCGCCCCGAGUUGUUCCUGUAUCCCCUCACCUGUCCGUUCCCGCUCCGAAUGACGAUUCCCAUGGUCAAUCCACCCCAGACGUCGCUUUGGUGACUCCGCAGGGAAUUCUUGCGCCGUUUCCUGGCCCAGGAGCCCUGCGAGCUGUUCCUGGUGGUUCCGCGGGACGUGGAGGAGUCGGGCGCGUGGCUGAACCCCGAGUGACGCCUCCGGUGAUGCCGUUUUGGGCUGAAAACGCCGCGUUUUGGGGCUUUUCCUGCUGGGGGAUGAGGGGAAACUGUUAAAAAAGGAUUUUGAGGAGCCGCGGUGCUUCGUUUUCCCCCAUUUCACCCCGUUUUUGUGCUCGUUAGUGCCUGUUAAUGAUGCUGGUGCGCGGCACAGCCGUCGUGUGUCACUAUGGGACCCCAGAACCCCCAUGGGGACCCCAAGACCCACACAGGACCCCCAAAACACAUAUGGGGACCCCAAAACCCACACGGGACCCCAAAAUCCACACGGGGACCCCCAAAACACAUACAGGGACCCCAAAACCCCCAUGGGACCCCAAAACCCACACAGGACCCCCAAAACCCUGAUGGGGACCCCCAUGGGACCCCAAAACCCAUACGGAACCCCCACAGGACCCCCAAAACCCCAUGGGAUCCCAAAACCCCCAUAGGGACCCCCUAAAACCCAGACGGGACCCCCACAGGACCCCCCUGGGACCCCAAAACCCACAGGGGACCAUCACAGGACCCCCAAAACCUCCAUGGGGAUCCCCAAAACCCACAGAGGACCCCCAUGGGACCCCAAAACCCACACGGGACUCCAAAACCCCCAUGGGACCCACAUGGGACCCCCAAAACCCCAUGGGACCCCAAAACCCACAGGGGAGACCCACAGGACCCCCAAAAGCCUUAUGGGACCCCAGAACCCACACGGGGACCCCACAGGACCCCCAUGGGACCCCAGAACCCCCAUGGGAUCCCCACAGGAUCCCCAAAACCUCCAUGGGACCCCAAAACCCCCAUGGGAUCCCCACAGGUCCCCAAAACUCCCAUGGGACCCCAAAACCCCCAUGGGGACCCCCACACUACCCCCAUGGGACCCCAAAACUCACAGGGGACCCCCACAGGACCCUCAAAACCCCCAUGGGACCCCAAAACCCCCCCAGGACCCCCAUAUGGGACCCACACAGGACCCCCAAACCCCCAUGGGACCCCCAAACCCCCAUGGAGACCCCCACAGGACCCCCAUGGAGACCCCAAAACCCACAUGGGACCCCCAAAACCCACAUGGGACCCCCAAAACCCACACGGGACCCCCCAAACCCCUAUGGGGACCCCAAAACCCACACAGGACCCACACGGGACCCCCAAAACACCCAUGGGACCCCAAAACCCCCAUGGGAACCCCCCAGGACCCCUGAAACUCACAUGGGGACUCCACAGGACCCCCACAGGACACCCAAAACCCACACAGGACCCCCGUGGUUACCCCCAAAACCCUCAUGAGGACCCCACAUCACCAUGGGGCCCCCUACAUCCCCACGGGACCCCCAAUAUUCUGCAGAGCCCCCCAACAUCCAUUCAGGGCUCCCCAAUAUCCCUCCAGGGUCUCCCAAUAUCCCCCCUGGACCCCCCAAUAUCCCCCAGGGCCCCCCAACCCCUUCCCAGCCCCCCCAAACCCUCCCCAGCAGCACCUGGGCGGGGGGGGGGGGGGGGGGCCCCGGACGCCUGGGUCCCUCCCGGAUCCCUGUGGGGUCCCCCCAAAACUGAAGCGUGUCCCCCCCAUCACUUGGGGGGACCUCCAGGCACACGUGACUCCCAAAUGGGGUUAAUUACCCCCCCCAAAAGGUGAUUAAAACUGCCGGUUUCCA
Long non-coding RNA from Columba livia (rock pigeon), 5166 nucleotides. RefSeq lists it as uncharacterized. The record is from RefSeq and is a predicted model, not a curated record. Lineage: Eukaryota; Metazoa; Chordata; Aves; Columbiformes; Columbidae. The transcript has 2 exons.